GACUCUCGGCAACGGAUAUCUCGGCGUGAAAUGCGAUACUUGGUGUGAAUUACAGAAUCCCGUGAACCAUCGAGUCUUUGAACGCAAGUUGCGCCACAAGCCAUUAGGCCGAGGGCACGUCUGCCUGGGUGUCA
RNAcentral lists this ribosomal RNA (134 nucleotides) under Gossypium hirsutum (cotton). RNAcentral describes it as "5.8S ribosomal RNA". It matches the Rfam family "5.8S ribosomal RNA". From Rfam's summary of the family: 5.8S ribosomal RNA (5.8S rRNA) is a component of the large subunit of the eukaryotic ribosome. It is transcribed by RNA polymerase I as part of the 45S precursor that also contains 18S and 28S rRNA. Functionally, it is thought that 5.8S rRNA may be involved in ribosome translocation. The record is from Rfam by way of RNAcentral. Lineage: Eukaryota; Viridiplantae; Streptophyta; Magnoliopsida; Malvales; Malvaceae.